This 1218-nucleotide ribosomal RNA is filed under the name Triticum aestivum (bread wheat). RNAcentral describes it as "partial small subunit ribosomal RNA". Lineage: Eukaryota; Viridiplantae; Streptophyta; Magnoliopsida; Poales; Poaceae. The record is from RNAcentral.
AUGGCCAAACACACAAGCUCGCCUGCUUUCUUCUCUGCCGUGCGUGCUCGCUGCUCCAGCUCCCCUUUCGCACCACCAUCACGGCUCCGCCGGGAGCGCCCCUACCCGUUGCCGUAUCCUCCAACAGUGCCUCCGCCCCUAUGCCACGGCCACCCGCCUCGCCUCACGGGCUUCGGCCGCCCCCGCGCGCCGCGUCGAGACGUCCGCGCCAGCCGGGUCCCCCGCUCCGGCUUCCGCAGCGCCGGGUCCGGCGCUUCCCGCAUCCGCCCCGUCUGGCGCCUGGUCCGGUCCCUCCGCAUCCAGUCAUCCCCGUGCAGCGCUCCCUCACCCAGGUCGCCUCGCCAGCUCCAGCUCCCGCCGGGUCUGCGUGCGACCACAUUCGUCGACCCAGUCGGCCGGCUCCGUCCCCGCGGCCGGCUCUCUGCCCCGCGCCAUCCGGCCUCCGUCGCUCCAUGCCGGCUCCUCCCCCCCCAGCCCGGCCGGCUCCCGAGCACCGCCACUUCCGUGCCGGCCGCCGGCUCCGCCCCUGCCGAGACGCCUCGCCCGCCCACCGGUGGGCCAGCUUCGCCUCGCCUCGGCCGCCUUCGCGCUGACCCGGCCCCUAUUCCGGGCUGCCUCCUCACGGCCACGCUGGCUCCUCCCGCAGCCCGGCUGCACCGGCUCCGGCUAGCUUCGGCCUCGCCUGCUCGCAGCAUCUGGCUGCGCCCCGCCCAGGCCGACCCUCCAGCAGUGCCCGCAUCGCCCACUGCUCUCCUCGUCGCCGCCGAGCGCCGUCUCCACCUCGCGGCCGCUGUGUCUCCAUCGGCUCGCACCCGCGGCCCAGCCUCGCCAUCUCUGCCAGCCCUCGCGUCGAGUGCCCGCACCUGCGCCGAGUCCCCGCACCCCGUCGUCUCCGCCGGCUCCGCCCCGAGGGCCCGGCCGCCAUCGCCGCGGCUGCCGCGUGCUCCUCUGCCCGUGCCGGCUGUGGCCCCUUGCUGGCCCAGCCGCCUCCCGCGCCACUGGACCCCGACCUGCCUCGUGCUGGCUGCGGCUCCAGCCUCCGCCGCCUGCGCCGCUCCCGCACCCGGCCGCCGGUUUCUGCACCCGCCUUCCCGCGACCCGGUUGCCUGCCGCCGUCCCCAUGCUCCAACUGUCCGACUGCUUCACGGGAAGAAAGAUAGAGAAAAGAAGGGGAUGGCUGGGUCAACACAGUGCGCCGACUACCUAGCCGGCCGCUAG